This 756-nucleotide long non-coding RNA is filed under the name Oryza sativa (Asian cultivated rice). RNAcentral describes it as "long non-coding RNA (OSAT_LNC001009)". Lineage: Eukaryota; Viridiplantae; Streptophyta; Magnoliopsida; Poales; Poaceae. The record is from RNAcentral.
CCUUCUUUGCAUCACUUGGUUACUUGUGGCUUUCUGUAUGGUUGUUCAAUGUUGAAAGUGACCCUCUUGACAGUCGUACAAUAAGCAAAUCUGAGCUGCAAUUAAUCCUAGCCGGAAGAAGUGCAUCAAAAAUUCAGGGUAGCAAAUUCCCAUCCUUACGAGAAAUUCUGUCGAAGAUCGAAAUGUGGGCCAUCAUUGUAGCUAAUGUGGUCAACAACUGGGUAAGAUUGAUAAAUCAGUUAUCUACAAAUUGGUGUUGACAUAUCUAUCUAAAUUUUAACUUCCGUGAGUUCGAAAUACUAUGCAGGGCUAUUUUGUACUACUAUCAUGGAUGCCUGUCUACUUUAAAACGGUAUGUUGUCUAAGGUGUUCAAAUUGGUCACUGUGACAACGCUGCUAUUAAGCUAAUUCCUGACUGCUAUCCUACAACAGGUUUAUAAUGUCAACUUAAAACAAGCAGCAUGGUUCAGUGCCAUACCUUGGGCAGUCAUGGCUCUGUCUGGUUACGUCGCAGGAGCUUCUGCAGAUUUCCUGAUCAAAUCUGGUUUCUCUGUUGCAUUAGUUCGGAAGAUUAUGCAGGUAACAGCAACACCUGAAAUUAGACUUGUGCAGCACUUGGAAGUUACUGAUAGCUUAGCACAGCCAGAAACAUAAAACUUACCACAAUUUUGUUCUCUAUUCAUGCUUGGUACAGUCCAUCGGUUUUAUCGGGCCAGGCGUUUCACUGCUUUGCUUAAGAUUUGCCCAGACGCCAUC